RNAcentral lists this ribosomal RNA (467 nucleotides) under uncultured bacterium. RNAcentral describes it as "partial 16S ribosomal RNA". It matches the Rfam family "Bacterial small subunit ribosomal RNA", at positions 28 to 507 of the family's 1533-position model. The record is from RNAcentral.
GACGAACGCUGGCGGCGUGCUUAACACAUGCAAGUCGAACGGAAAGGCCUCUUUCGUGGGGUACUCGAGUGGCGAACGGGUGAGUAACACGUGAGUAACCUGCCCUCCUCUUUGGGUUAACUUCAGGAAACUGGGGCUAAUACCGGAUAGGAGCUCCUGCGACAUGGAGGGGGUUGGAAAGUUUCGGGGGUUGGGGAUGGAUUCUCGGGUUAUCAGCUUAUUUGUGGGGGAAUGGGUUACCAAGGCGUUGGCGGGUAGCCGGCCUGGGGAGGUGACCGGCGGCAUUGGGACUUAGGUGCGGCCCAGGCAGCUACGGGGGGGCAAAGGGGGGAAUAAUGAAGGAUGAGUGGAAGGCUGAUGCAGAAAGGCCGUGGGCGGGAUGACGGCCUUCGGGUUGAAAACCGCAUUCGCACAUGACGAAGCAUUGUGUGACGGUAGUGGGUAAAGAAGCACCGGCUAACUACGUG